This 793-nucleotide ribosomal RNA is filed under the name Flavobacterium sp. 16AGV. RNAcentral describes it as "bacterial SSU rRNA". It matches the Rfam family "Bacterial small subunit ribosomal RNA", at positions 60 to 859 of the family's 1533-position model. Lineage: Bacteria; Pseudomonadati; Bacteroidota; Flavobacteriia; Flavobacteriales; Flavobacteriaceae. The record is from RNAcentral.
AGUCGAGGGGUAUAGUUCUUCGGAAUUAGAGACCGGCGCACGGGUGCGUAACGCGUAUGCAAUCUACCUUUUACAGAGGGAUAGCCCAGAGAAAUUUGGAUUAAUACCUCAUAGUAUAGCAGUUUCGCAUGAAACCACUAUUAAAGUCACAACGGUAAAAGAUGAGCAUGCGUCCCAUUAGCUAGUUGGUAAGGUAACGGCUUACCAAGGCUACGAUGGGUAGGGGUCCUGAGAGGGAGAUCCCCCACACUGGUACUGAGACACGGACCAGACUCCUACGGGAGGCAGCAGUGAGGAAUAUUGGACAAUGGGCGCAAGCCUGAUCCAGCCAUGCCGCGUGCAGGAUGACGGUCCUAUGGAUUGUAAACUGCUUUUAUACAGGAAGAAACCCUGGUUCGUGAACCAGCUUGACGGUACUGUAAGAAUAAGGAUCGGCUAACUCCGUGCCAGCAGCCGCGGUAAUACGGAGGAUCCAAGCGUUAUCCGGAAUCAUUGGGUUUAAAGGGUCCGUAGGCGGUUUAAUAAGUCAGUGGUGAAAGCCCAUCGCUCAACGGUGGAACGGCCAUUGAUACUGUUAAACUUGAAUUAUUAGGAAGUAACUAGAAUAUGUAGUGUAGCGGUGAAAUGCUUAGAGAUUACAUGGAAUACCAAUUGCGAAGGCAGGUUACUACUAAUGGAUUGACGCUGAUGGACGAAAGCGUGGGUAGCGAACAGGAUUAGAUACCCUGGUAGUCCACGCCGUAAACGAUGGAUACUAGCUGUUGGGAGCAAUCUCAGUGGCUAAGCGAAAGUG